AAACUUUUAACAACGGAUCUCUUGGUUCUGGCAUCGAUGAAGAACGCAGCGAAACGCGAUAUGUAAUGUGAAUUGCAGAAUUCAGUGAAUCAUCGAAUCUUUGAACGCACAUUGCGCCCGCCAGCAUUCUGGCGGGCAUGCCUGUUCGAGCGUCAUUUCAACCCUCAAGCUCUGCUUGGUGUUGGGGCUCUAC
This 193-nucleotide ribosomal RNA is filed under the name Colletotrichum sp. Its description in RNAcentral is "5.8S ribosomal RNA". The stretch from base 2 to 155 matches the Rfam family "5.8S ribosomal RNA". From Rfam's summary of the family: 5.8S ribosomal RNA (5.8S rRNA) is a component of the large subunit of the eukaryotic ribosome. The record is from RNAcentral. Lineage: Eukaryota; Fungi; Ascomycota; Sordariomycetes; Glomerellales; Glomerellaceae.